GCUUCGACUAAGGUUCGAUUCGAGCGCAGCGAGAAAGCGUUGCCGCAGGCAACGACCCGAAGGGCGAAGCGCUGAGUCAUCCUUCCCCCACCACCA
Molecule: small RNA, 96 nt
Filed under: Salmonella enterica
Lineage: Bacteria; Pseudomonadati; Pseudomonadota; Gammaproteobacteria; Enterobacterales; Enterobacteriaceae
Description: partial RtT sRNA
Rfam family: RtT RNA
About the family: This family represents a bacterial cis-regulatory element known as RtT RNA. The exact function of RtT is unknown although it is thought that it may be involved in changing the cellular response in relation to amino acid starvation.
Source: RNAcentral